GACGAACGCUGGCGGCGUGCUUAACACAUGCAAGUCGAACGGAAAGGCCCUGCUUUUGUGGGGUGCUCGAGUGGCGAACGGGUGAGUAACACGUGAGUAACCUGCCCUUGACUUUGGGAUAACUUCAGGAAACUGGGGCUAAUACCGGAUAGGAGCUCCUGCUGCAUGGUGGGGGUUGGAAAGUUUCGGCGGUUGGGGAUGGACUCGCGGCUUAUCAGCUUGUUGGUGGGGUAGUGGCUUACCAGGGCUUUGACGGGUAGCCGGCCUGAGAGGGUGACCGGCCACAUGGGGACUGAGAUACGGCCCAGACUCCUACGGGAGGCAGCAGGGGGGAAUAUUGCACAAUGGGCGGAAGCCUGAUGCAGCAACGCCGCGUGCGGGAUGACGGCCUUCGGGUUGUAAACCGCUUUCGCCUGUGACGAAGCGUGAGUGACGGUAAUGGGUAAAGAAGCACCGGCUAACUACGUG
RNAcentral lists this ribosomal RNA (468 nucleotides) under uncultured bacterium. Its description in RNAcentral is "partial 16S ribosomal RNA". It matches the Rfam family "Bacterial small subunit ribosomal RNA", at positions 28 to 507 of the family's 1533-position model. The record is from RNAcentral.